AAGACAAUAAGUUAAACCUAAACUCCCUCCGUUCAAAGGAGGUAAUGAGAAAACCUCUCUUGUCUUG
This 67-nucleotide transfer RNA is filed under the name Haematomyzus elephantis (elephant louse). Its description in RNAcentral is "tRNA-Trp". The record is from RNAcentral. Lineage: Eukaryota; Metazoa; Arthropoda; Insecta; Psocodea; Haematomyzidae.